GUGGAUGCCUUGGCACUAGAAGCCGAUGAAGGACGUUACUAACGACGAUAUGCUUUGGGGAGCUGUAAGUAAGCUUUGAUCCAGAGAUUUCCGAAUGGGGAAACCCAGCAUGAGUUAUGUCAUGUUAUCGAUAUGUGAAUACAUAGCAUAUCAGAAGGCACACCCGGAGAACUGAAACAUCUUAGUACCCGGAGGAAGAGAAAGAAAAUUCGAUUCCCUUAGUAGCGGCGAGCGAAACGGGAAGAGCCCAAACCAACAAGCUUGCUUGUUGGGGUUGUAGGACACUCUAUACGGAGUUACAAAGGACGACAUUAGACGAAUCAUCUGGAAAGAUGAAUCAAAGAAGGUAAUAAUCCUGUAGUCGAAAAUGUUGUCUCUCUUGAGUGGAUCCUGAGUACGACGGAGCACGUGAAAUUCCGUCGGAAUCUGGGAGGACCAUCUCCUAAGGCUAA
Molecule: ribosomal RNA, 452 nt
Filed under: Staphylococcus aureus
Lineage: Bacteria; Bacillati; Bacillota; Bacilli; Caryophanales; Staphylococcaceae
Description: partial 23S ribosomal RNA
Rfam family: Bacterial large subunit ribosomal RNA
Source: RNAcentral